RNAcentral lists this ribosomal RNA (478 nucleotides) under uncultured bacterium. RNAcentral describes it as "partial 16S ribosomal RNA". It matches the Rfam family "Bacterial small subunit ribosomal RNA", at positions 28 to 507 of the family's 1533-position model. The record is from RNAcentral.
GAUGAACGCUGGCGGCGUGCUUAACACAUGCAAGUCGAACGAGAAGUGAAGACGGAAACCUUCGGGCGGAAGGCUUUAUUUCGAGUGGCGGACGGGUGAGUAACGCGUGGGUAACCUGCCUCAUACAGGGGGAUAACAGUUGGAAACGACUGUUAAUACCGCAUAAGACCACAGCACCGCAUGGUGCGGGGGUGAAAACUCCGGUGGGAUGAGAUGGACCCGCGUUCGAUUAGCCAGUUGGCGGGGUCACGGCCCACCAAAGCGACGAUCGAUAGCCGAUCAGGGAGGAUGACCGGCCACAUUGGGACUGAGACACGGCCCAAACUCCUACGGGAGGGAGCAGUGGGGAAUAUUGCACAAUGGGGGAAACCCUGAUGCAGCGACGACGCGUGAGUGAAGAAGUAUUUCGGUAUGUAAAGCACUAUCAGCAGGGAAGAAAAUGACGGUACCUGAGUAAGAAGCCCCGGCUAACUACGUG